Molecule: long non-coding RNA, 7645 nt
Filed under: Podarcis lilfordi (Lilford's wall lizard)
Lineage: Eukaryota; Metazoa; Chordata; Lepidosauria; Squamata; Lacertidae
Source: RNAcentral
UGCCACAGCGGCAUCUUUAAAACAACUUACUGGAUCAUGUUUAGUGAUUCCGAUAUAGAAGGUGCCAUAUUGGCCAAGAAGCCAUUAGUUGGUUCCACAUCUCCAUUACCACCCUUUUCUUGCUACGUGGAUCAUGGCAUCAUUGAUAGCAUUAGAGACACAAUCCCACAAAAUGUUUCAAAGGGUUCAUUGCCACCAGCAUUAAUAUAUACUGUAGGAGCCAGCAUCAGUUUUGGGGCUUCUUGGGCAAUAAAUAAAAAAGAAGUCAAGGGUUAAAGGCCUUUCAUAUAUCUGGUACCUCCCAAGCAGGGACACAGGUGGCGCUGCGGUCUCAACCACUGAGCCUCUUGGACUUGCUGAUCCGAAGGUUGGUGGUUCAGAUCCCCGUGAAGGAGUGAGCUCCCAUUGCUCUGUUCCAGCUCCUGCCAACCUAGCAGUUCAAAAGCACGCUAGUGCAAGUAGAUAAAUAGGUACUGCUGUGGCAGGAAGGUAAACAACGUUUCCUUGCACUCUUGUUUCCGUCACGGUGUUCCGUUGCGCUAGAAGCAAUUUAUUCAUGCUGGCCACAUGACGAAAAGCUGUCUGUGGACAAAUGCUGGCUCCCUUGGCCUGAAAGCGAGAUGAGCGCUGCAACCUCACAGUCGCCUUUGACUGGACUUAACCGUCCAGGGGUCAUUUACCUUUAUCUUUUUUAGCUCCCAAACAGUCAUCUCCAGGAGUAUGCAGGGCUGCCAGUGGGAUUGUAGAUUGGAUAGAAUCCUACAGAUAUACCUGUUUUUGAACUAGCCAUUUCUCAUUGUGGUUGGUCUAAAAUCCUAAAUGUUGCUCAAGUGGUAUGGCCAGAGCAGAGCCUCACUGAGAGUUCAGUACCCUCCAGCUAUCCAAUUAGAUUGAUUUUCUUCUUUGCCUAGCCACAGUUCUGUCUUAAUCAUACCUUCUACUGGCAAUCUGAAAUAUUUAACUUAUCUGCAAUAGUGAUACUGGGAAUUCCCAGUGCUUUUAGUACUCGGUUUGAUUGAUUUACAUCCUGCUCUUUCCUAUUGGCUCCGAGCAGCUUACAGCAGUUUUUCUAAAUGUUAUUAGUUUUGUCCCCAAGGGGCUCUCAAUCUAAGGAAAUCAAAUGGUUUGGAGGAUAAAAGGAGCCAACUGGGGGGGGGGGGGAUGCCACUGUAAAUAUAAAAAACUGGGUGUAUGCUUUUAAACUUCAAAUAAGCACAUCAAAAAGCCAUUCAAAGAACAAUGCUUUUUCAGGCAGUCAUCUGCUAAAUGUCUGUUCAUUAAAGAGGUGAAAGAAUAAAAAGACUGUAGCUCAGUGGUAGAUCAUCUACUUUUGCUGAAAGUCUAGGUUCAGAAAUAAGCUAGAGGGACCAAUGGCCUGAGUCAGUAUAAGGAGGCUUCCUACGAGGCAGUGCUGUAGAGAGGGGAUCCCAGCUGUUGUGGUGAUGGUAUUUCUGCCCAGGAUGGUAGAUAUUCCCUCCCAGAUCCUGGAAUACUCAUCUUCAGCAGCUGCGCAGUCUGGCAGUCUUGACUAUUGGAAAAGUGUGACAGGUUGGGAUGGAGUAGACAGGCAGCUGAACUCAGUUCCCCCUACAGAGUCACCAUAAGUAUUCUGGACCCCCCAAAAGUGGCAAAGCACCACUUUUUUCUCUCUGAGUGAUUCCAUAACUUAUCAAAAAGUGAUAGGGUAUGCCCUCUGCUGGUUGUUAGCCAGACUUUACUACUUCAGCUGUGCCAUCUGCAGUUCAGUAGCCACAGAAUUCUUAAUUUUGCCUGCAGUUACUUGGAAGUAACUGUGCUUCCUUAAAAGAGUGCACAGAAUUGUAACCCUAACUGUGGGUUGUCUUAUAUGGACCUUUGUCUAGGCACCUGUGUAUAAGAUGUUUUUGAAACAGCUUAAUAUUUGCAACGUGUUCAUCAAUAAAACUUCAUAAUAGUUUGGCUUUGCUCCAAAAUGUUAAUGGAGCAAGUUAACAAUAUGACAUAUGCACAGAAGUGUAAAAAAAUUGAGAUCAACACAGAAGCUACGCACUAAUGUCAACAGAUAGUUCCUUCUCAAAGUGCUAUUUAAGGCACUUUGAACAUAACCCACAGGACUAAGGCUAAAAUCUUAACCCCCUGCUCUAUAAGGCAUGGACGUAACACUAGGCACUGUUGGCCUCUGUAGAAUCCUAAGUUGAUCCAUUUUCCAGCGGGGGGGUUGGGAGGGAGCUGAUGAACUGUACCAUUGAGUUAGGAUAGCAAAAAAUUACACACAGGCUGCGCCCCCACCCUUCUGCCUUGGCUGACAUAAGUAAACAGGGUUUCAGGUGCUGAAGUUGAUCGACUGCACUGUUGCUUCCAGCCAGGGUUUAGGAUUGCUCUUCCCGCUGUGGUUAUUCCAGCAGUAGCCCUAAGACUUAUACACCAAGGAGCUGUCGUACAUGCCAUGGCAACGUAGUUGGUUAAAAGCAAUGAAUGCAAAAGGAGUUUGUCAACAGGAAGUGACAACAAGGGGAUCCACGUUGAACAUAACAAGGCUGCCGUUAUGACAUUAAUCAAAGCUCAGUUGUUGAGCUUCAGUAUCUCCUCCCUCGCCCCAUUUCUCUCCAGUCGUAAUAAUGUACUGUUUCUUUCUUCUCAAAUACUUGGGUGCAGUUUAGUUACAAAGACCAUAUGACAGAUGACCUUUAUCCGAGAGUCGGGACAUUUUCAUUUUCAAAAUUAUUUGGUCCUUUAAAGGAAAUGUUAGCGUGCAGUUUAAAAAAUAAUAAUCCUGUUUUGUUUAAAAGCCCGGAUAGUUUAUAGACUAACAGUUUAGUUUAUUUGUGAGCUAUUUCGUUGCGAAUAAAUGUGGUUCUGUAUUUUUAGCACACUGUCUGCAAAGUCAUUUGGUGUCAUCUAAAAGCCUUAUUAGCUUUAAAGUUCCGAAUGAAUGUGUUAAUAAACAAAGGGAGGGGAGGGGAGAACAUCUGAAAUCAUGACUAUGGCAUUUCAUGUGGACAGUUCCAUAUUCUCUUAAAACUGAAUCACUACUUCCAGACAUUAAAAGGGAGAUUAUGCUGGAAGUUGUCACGAACUGAAGACUAACCAUCUGACUAUUAAUAAAUUAACAGUGUUUUCCGCCGCUCUUGCAUCAGAUUUCAAGUCCAUACAAAUGCUUCUUUGUAAAAGGAAUUCAUUUACAUUAGCAUACCAUUUUGGACACGCUACAUUCUUUGCUGUAGCCCUUUUAUGGAGGGAUGCAGUGUAAUUCCAGUAGUGUAGGCAUGAAGGAUUUAGGAAUGAAAUGAUCAGUACAAAAAUAAAUGACUGUUGAGCUGACAUUUCAGUGGACUGGAAGAUAGGAGAAUGGUUCUUUCCCCCCCACAUAUUUCUAUUUAAAGCAGAAGAUAAGUGCAUUAAAUGUUAUCUGUUGGAACAGAUUAGAUUGGUUUGGGCCAAGCUUCAUAGAACUUGCUAAAACUGGCCACCAAUGGCCUAUUACUUAUGACUGCUACGUACUCAGUACUCUUUGCUUUUAAAUGAGCACAUGAGUAGGAAAAUCACAUUGUGCCAUGCACUAUACUUUCAUGUAUUGUCCAAAGUCACUGCCCUUUCAUAUCAUAGGUACAACAUCUAUGUUGCUUUUUGUGCUUGUGAACGCAAAUCCUUUGACACUGUUUGGGCAAGAUGGUGUGCAUAUUGCAGCUGCUAGUGGAACAAUUCUGCUAAUGUUUAUAGAGAGGAUAGGGAGACAAAGCAAGAAAGAUACAGAAGAAAUCUUAAGGCCAGCCAGAACUGUGUGUUGUGGGAGAAGGAAGCUGGAAAUUUGGAAGUGGGGCAGAACCUGUGACCCUCCAGAUGUUGCUCAUGCUGACUGGGGCUAAUGGGAGAACCACAGGUUAACUACCUUUAUUCCAGAGCUCAGCCAAGGAAUAAGUGGGACAAACACUGUAAGCUGUAACAGGGAUCUAAGGAAUGGAGAGGUUAAGUCAAAGAAAGAAGAAGCCAAGGGGAAAGUUGAUCUGAGGCAUGGGAUCUUGGAGGCAGAGGGUCUACACCCCAGUAGUAGGAAGGCAGAAGAGAAUCAGAGGGCCGGAACAAGGGUUGUUAGAUAAUUACAGUAUUUGAUUAAAUUUUCCCUGAUGUUUAAACUUAACAAUUCAAGGAAAACAGAGCAGCUAUAGAACUGCUGUUUUUGGCUCAUUUGAAUGUAUUCAUUAUAUUUUGUAGUACCCAACCUGAUAAUGUAUUUGAUGGGUGUGUAAUAAAUAUACAGUCUAGACUAGCCUUACCCAACUUUAUACAGUCCAGAAGUUUUGACCUAUGACUCUCAUCCUUGGCUGGGACUGUUGGGAGUUCUGGUCCAAAAUAUCUGGGUCACCUGAUGUCAUCACAACAUCAAGCGAUUGACUGGUGGGCAGGGCUUCCCACCUGUCAUACUUUCUCCACUGGUGUGCAUAGAGAUAAGGAUCCAACCGACUUCCGGGGUGGCGCCAUCAACAAUGGCGGAUUCCCUCUGAACUGGAGGGACCAGCUCCACGGGAAUCGGGUGUUUUCCGCUACGGCGAAGCGGGGACCCAUUCAAAAAUCACAGGCGGAUGAAGCCUGUGACCAUGGGACUCGGCGGGCACCUUUAGCGCCCCCCCAACCCGCAAAGGAACCCACUAACGGGCUCCGGAGUGAAGAGGGGGAGUGGCGCGGUGCUGAGAGUCAACUGCUUCUUCCGUGGAGCGAAGCCGCACAGCCGUUGCCGGAGAGCGCUGCCUUUUUCCUGGGACAAUUUGGCUUUUAAAACAACCACCCGUGAGUACUUAAGUUUCGGACAAUUGGACUCUAAACAAGGAUUUGCGAGCAGAAAGGAAAACUGGACUUAAAAGUUUAAUUUAAUUUGGCACUGAAACGGGAAGGUCUAAACAGGAAGUCAGCCUUCCGUUUCUUUGUAGAUAGAUUAAAGCAAAGACACAGCAAACUAAAGUUCUGAAAAUCGCUUCUAAAGGAUUAACUUUCAUCAUUUAAAAUUGUGGAACCCCCUUCGGAAGCAGGAGAAGAGGGGGGAUUUUUUCUGGACUGUUUAAACCUGCAGAAGUGAGUGUAAAGUAAAGUAACUUUCCACCGUCUUGAUCCUGGAGCGGGGUGUCAGGACUGACGUUCUUUGAAGAGACAAACGUUUUUGACAGAUAGCUAAAGGAAGAGAUACAUAGUGAUUCCAUUGUUCUCCUUCACAUUUUAAAGGAACAAAUAUUGACAAAAUAUCUGAAAAAGGAAACUUUGUUGUUAGAUUUGUUUUUAAAAGAAAAGAACAAGCAGAAGUUUUCCCCUAGAGGGAGCCUGUGAAACUGUAACCAAUUUUGAAUCGGGAAGCUCGCAGCUGUCACAGAUUACGAUCGUGGGAAUAGACUUCUGACCUUGCAGGACAAUGUAUUCAGAAGCUCUGUUGAGUGCUUUCUGUAAAACAAGUGCCCUACUGGAACAGCUACAUGAGAAGACGGAUUUUAUGACUGAUGCGAUUAGAAAUUUUGGACAGGCAGUGGGAUAUUAUACAGAGCCCAACCAGGAAUUAGGCCAGGAGUGUGCCCUGACAGAACAGAUGAGGGAAGAGGAUGUUGCUGAAUUUUGGGUGCCAGAGAUGGAGGGAGCUGCGGCCCAGCAGGAACAUGAAUUCUUGGAUUUGACAAAUGAACUUGGAAAAAGCCAGAUUUGGAAAGAUAAAGUUUGGUUUGGUUUGGAAAUGGGGGGUUGGAUAGACCCCCCUAUGCAGGGAGGUUUGGACUUUUCGAGUCUGGCAAUGGGCCGUGAGAUGUUUGGGGUUGUGGGGGCUCUCAAUUUUGGAGGGUCUUUGAAACAUGUUCUUAAAUACCACAUGGAGCUUAGUGGGGACUAUGGAAAAGGGGCUGAUUUGUCGAGAAGGGUCAAAAGCAUUGUCAAGCUGGAGUUCCCAAGAGUGAAAGAAGUAGGAGAUAAAGGAAAAUAUAGCUAUAAAUAUGAAGAAGAGCUGCGGAAGGGACAUGGAAGAGACUUAAGGGCCUCGGACAUAAGGUUACCAGGUUAAUGCGCUAGAUUGAUGGGAUAGAAAGGACUGACAAAACCCGGGUCCAGGAGGAAGAGACGCUAGAUGAAGAUUGGAUUGUUAUUUCUUUUAUUAUGAUUGUUUUAUAAAAUUGAUGAAUGUUAGAAAAAUGUUGGAACGAAAUUAUUUGGCUUUAGCAAAAAUGUUUAAAGAAUUAUGUAAGAAUAUUAUGGUUAUGAGAAAUUGGUAAAAAUAAGAUUUAAGUUUUAAGUUUUAAGGUUUUCAUAGUAAGAUAAGAUUAAAAUAGAUUAAGGUAAAGUAAUGACAGAAUAUUAUGAAAUAUGGAAAGGAUUUGCUGUGACAAUUAAUAAUCAGGAUACAAAAAAAGGGAGGAGGAGGAGGUCAAAGAAAGAAGGUAAUGACAGUUAAAGAUAUGAGAAUAUUGGAUUUGUUUUUAAAUAUUUGUGGUAUAUUUUUGUUUUUUAAUUGUGUCGUGUUAUUUUUUGAUUUUGAUUUUUAUUAAUCUGUAUUGUUUGACUGUGGUUUGUCUUUUCUUUGUUUUUUCUUUCUUUUUUUCUUUUUUGUUCUCUUUUGUAAUUUUAAAAUUUUCAAUAAAUAUCAUUUUAAAAAAAAAAAGAGAUAAGGAUCCAACCUACCGGCCAGUUUCCAUUCCCCAUCCCUGCUUUAACAGGUGCAUUUAAGCAGAAUUCUGUUCACUGUACUUUCUAGCGGCCAACAGGGCCAUUAAGUAAGAAGUAAAAGCUGAAUUUCACAUACAGUACUUGUCCCAACUAGAAAAUUAACUGGCAGUAAACUUUCUAGUUCUGCUAUAGAUGAGGCAGAUUCUACUUUGUUUUACAGUGCAGCCGCCUCAUUGGCACAACAGCAACUGGAGCUGUUACAACACAUGUAGGCAGCAGCUUCCUAUGAUCCUGGCCAUACACUGCAAAGCACAAUUGGGAACAGAGCAAAUGCAGCGACUUGCUCUCUGAAAUAUCCUCAUAGCCUUUGUAGAAAGUUUUGCCAAUCCAAGCACAUUGUGCAUAGCCCAUGUCAGCCCCCCAUUAUCCUUGGGGAUUAGUAGGGGGUUGUUGUUGUUGUUUAGUCGUUUAGUCGUGUCCGACUCUUCGUGACCCCAUGGACCAGAUCACGCCAGGCACUCCUGUCUUCCACUGCCUCCCCCAGUUUGGUCAAACUCAUACUGCUAGCUUUGAGAACACUAUCCAACCAUUUCGUCCUCUGUCGUCCCCUUCUCCUUGUGCCCUCAAUCUUUCUCAACAGCAGGGUCUUUUCCAGGGAGUCUUCUCAUGAGGUGGCCAAAGUAUUGGAGCCUCAGCUUCACGAUCUGUCCUUCCAGUGAGCACUCAGGGCUGAUUUCCUUCAGAAUGGGUAGGUUUGAUCUUCUUGCAGUCCAUGGGACUCUCAAGAGUCUCCUCCAGCGCCAUAAUUCAAAAGCAUCAAUUCUUCGGCGAUCAGCCUUCUUUAUGGUCCAGCUCUCACUUCCAGUAGGGGGUUAAUGUGGGUCAAAGAACCACAUAACCGAAGCUCUAAAGUAGCACAACCAACCCCUUAAAUUGGUCAUACCCUCUUUUAGGGCUGCAUCAAAUGCGUCUACUAGAAGAUUAUGGUUUAUUUCAAAAAAAAAUAUUAAUUUUCCAAAUUUAUAACAAACAUAUC